Pipra filicauda (Wire-tailed manakin) is the source of this 3409-nucleotide long non-coding RNA. RefSeq lists it as uncharacterized. NCBI's taxonomy places the organism in Eukaryota, Metazoa, Chordata, Aves, Passeriformes, Pipridae. The transcript is spliced from 2 exons. The record is from RefSeq and is a predicted model, not a curated record.
GGCUUGCUGGGCGGCUGCUUGUGCCGGCGGUUGGGCCGGGGCCUGGCUUUGGUGCAAUGCUCCAGCUUCUCGCCGGCGGUCGGCAGGUCCAUAAGGAAUCCGGUGGCGGUGGCGGGCUGCGUGGCGGGGAGCGAGCCGCUCGCAGGCUCAGCAUCCUUUGUGGAGGCAGGGCGUGCCGGCGGCGCGGCGGGGCUGAGUGACGGCGGCGCCCGGUGAGCUCGGAGCCCGCUGGCGUCUCGACCCGCCGCCGGCUCCAGCUCCGACACACCUACGAGAGGCGAGAGGGUCCUUGUUGACGCCCGGCCUCGGCAGGCCUCCCCAUCAUCAUCAUCAUCAUCAUCACCGACGCCGUCACCUUCGCCCACGCGCGGAGGGUCAGCGGGGCGCUGGCUCCGCCGCGGGGAGGGGAGCGUGGCCGUGCCCACCGGGAGCGCGCGUGGCGGCUUUGCGGCGCAGCCCGGGAUGGAUCCUGCCACCGUCGCUGGAGGGCCAUCUUGUACUGCAGGGAGACAGGGAUGGUGGCGGCUUCGGCGUGGACAAGCUGGCUGUGCUGAGUGGCAUCCUGUGGCAGCUGGAGCCAGCCAGGCUUUGCCAGGUGACGGGUGCAAUCCCCCCAUCACUCCCAGACCCACAGCACUGCACCCCCUGAUCCUGUCCCAGCUCCAAAACCCUCCAUGACGCUGGAUUGAAUACUUCCCCAUCCAGGACCCUGCAGCACACUGGAUCCCAGAGCAACAACAGCGGGAGAGGGUGCAAACAGCCAGGACCAGCUGGGCCACCACAAGGACAAACUCCUGGUGCCAGCAGCAUGGCCUGGCAGGCUAAUGGUCCCAUUUCCCAGCACUAAUUGCCUUAGCACUGCCCUGGGGGGGUGCCGGGGGGUGCCUGAACCCGGAGAGGCUCCGGUGCUAAGCCCGGCAUCAUCCGGUAAGGCGGAUAAAAGGUGGUUAUAGCGCGGGCAUCACGCGGCAGCACUGGGUUUGGACCCUACCUCCUCUGCGGCGAGGUCCAGAGGAUUCUUGCCCCUCGCCAGCGCGGUGGCAUCGUCCUCAGCCGACUCCGGCAGCAGCACCAGGAGGUCGAGCCCCUGCUUGGAGAGGCUCUCUGCCUAAAACCAUUAGGAAGCGCUUAAAUUAUCCCGGGGGCUGAAGCGCGCCUGGCUGCCCUGUGUGCUCCGUGCUGCUCCGCUCCCUACCCACGGCUGGGAUUUGUGAGCGGAUUUAGGCCUGAUUAGCCGGCUGCCAGCCCCAGCACAGCUGCCCCGCGCCUGCCCCAGUGCACGAGUGGCCAGCGCCCGGCUUCACCCCAGCACCCCCCACCACACCACACGGCAACAGCUCCAGGACUUUGCUCAGGGUGUUAAUGUUGCUGUGACCACACCAGGAGAGGAUUACCUGGCAGGAAAACCAGCCUGGGUGGAAAUUGUCCUGCUUCUCAGACUGCAAAUCUGUGGUGACAGUGUUGGCUGGUGCCCAGGCAAUGCUGGGGUACCCCUAUCCCACAUCCCAGCACCACAUCCCAAUCCCGCAGGUGCUGGUGCCCCUGGCACUCACCAGUUUGCACUGGGCGAUGGUCAGGUCUCCCAGCACAGCAUCCACGAUGCAGUCGGCCGCAGCGGCUGUGAUGGACAGCUUGAUUUCACUGGGAGCAGAAAGAGUGGUGUCAGGGCCAGCACCCACCCCCUGCAAGCCAUGGAGCCAGCUCCCCCCAGGGAAAGCCUGCUGAGGAGAUGGAUGCUUGGCUGUGGCACCCAGGAUAUGCCCUGCACUGCGGCUCACUGGGUUUGUGCUGCCAGAGCAGGAAUGGCAACAGGGGCUGGCUGGGAUGGAGGAAGCCAAGUGCACUCCCACACUGAUGGUUUGGGCUCCCCUCUGCCAGCCACAGGUGUGUGCCUGCAGGCACAUCAUCCCAUGGAGCCCCCCAGCUUCCCAGGGACACAACCAAACUAGACCCAAGCAGGAAGCAAAGCCACGGCUGGGAAAACACAGCGACAGGACCCAGCACAUCACCACCACAAUGUAGGGAGAGGGGAAGUUGGUAGGCAACCCCCAAAAUCCUCCUCUGGCCCAGUGAGUGAGUGACAGCUGUUGAGCCAGGAGGAAGAACGGCACAUCACCCACUUCAGCUUGCUGAAGACAUCGGUGACCAUCUGGUCCAGGACGGCACUGAGGCUGAGGUGGUCCUGGAGGCAGAUCCGCUCCGACAUGGCAUUGACCAGCUGAUCCCUGACCCCGCUCUUCUGCACCACGUCUGGGCACAGGCUGUGCGCCGUGUCCAGCACCGCCUGCAUGAUCGCCUGCAGUGUGGGGGACAAAGGCGAGUUUUGGUGCCUGUCUGUCUCCAUUCACAUGGUUUCCAGGAGGCACCAUCUCCGUUAUCCUUGGGCCAAGGCUGAUGAAUAUCCCAUGCUGCCCAUGGAUGCCCACCUGGAUUUCCCAGCUGCAGGUCUGCGAUGCUUCCUCCGUGAGACACUCCAGCUUGUGCUGCAGCUUGCCAUUCUGGUAUGGGGUGUUUCCUGCCUCAUACAGGAGGGGUAGGAUCUGCCAUGGGAAGAGAGAUGGUAUGGAUCAUCCCACGCCACUUCAUCUUUGCUUCCCAUCCUUCCAUGCUCAGCCAGCAGCUGUGACUGUGCCAUGGAAGAGCAUCACCUGCAUCAGCUGGGCAGACCUAGAGACUUGGCUUUGCUGGGCCAGGGUGGGGCAUCCUAGUCCCUCAGAGUCCCUGUCCCCCCCAGAUGGACCCUCAACUGCUCCCCACCCCCCACUGACCCUCCCUCCCCUCCUGCACACCACUGCACUGCUGCCUGCAUCAGCAGAGAUGGUGUCCCAUCCCUUUCACCACCUUUCCAACAACAGCACUGUCCUCUUAAGUUCUAUGUCCACCAGAUUAAGUACCUAAGGGGGUGCUGAGAGAGUUGGGAAAAAGGGAAAAGAGAUGGUUUGAAGAGAAGUAGAGGAGGAGGAAAAGGUGCAAUGGGGAGAGAGAAACAGGACCAAGAGAAUCAAACCAGAUCUGACAGUGCCAGGAGCUGCCCAGCCAGCGUGGUGGAUUUCAUCGUGGGCUGAUGGAGCACUCUCAUCACUAGGGUGGGAUGAGGGUGUCCCAGGAAAGACAACCCCUCAGGGAUGCAGGGAGGUUUCUCACCAGUGUGGGCAUCUCUGGGUUGCAGGGCAUGCCCAAAGCUGGAGCAGUCACUUCUCCAAAGGAGGGGUGUGCGAGCAUGGGAUGCAAGAGAGGGUGCACUUGUAACCUCUGCUUCCCCUGGGGGGUGCACACAACUGUGUGCCUUUGGGGCGAGGGGACUGAGAGCAUUUUGACCCUUGCUCUAGAAGGGAAUUCAGAAAUCCUCAGCUGUUUUCUAACGUCUGCAGACGCUCGGUGACGUGCAUCUGUUGCAUCGACAUUCUGG